Molecule: ribosomal RNA, 465 nt
Filed under: uncultured bacterium
Lineage: Bacteria
Description: partial 16S ribosomal RNA
Rfam family: Bacterial small subunit ribosomal RNA
Source: RNAcentral
GACAAACGCUGGCGGCGUGCUUAACACAUGCAAGUCGAACGGAAAGGCCCCUUUGGGGGUACUCGAGUGGCGAACGGGUGAGUAACACGUGAGUAACCUGCCCUUGACUUCGGGAUAACUUCAGGAAACUGGGGCUAAUACCGGAUAGGAAUCCUUGCUGCAUGGUGGGGGUUGGAAAGCUUCGGCGGUUUUGGAUGGACUCACGGCUUAUCAGCUUGUUGGUGGGGUAAGGGCUUACCAAGGCUUGUACGGGUAGCCGGCCUGGGAGGGCGGCCGGCCACAGUGGGACUGAGAUAAGGCCCAGACUCCUACGGGAGGCAGCAGUGGGGAAGAUUGCACAAGGGGCGGAAGCCUGAUGCAGCAACGCCGCGUGCGGGAGGACGGCCUUCGGGUUGGAAAACGCUUUCAGCAGGGGCGAAGCUUGUGGUGACGGUACCUGCAGAAGAAGCACCGGCUAACUACGUG